GACAACGCUGGCGGCGUGCUUAACACAUGCAAGUCGAACGGGAGUACUUUGAAAGCUUGCUGAUAAGUACUUUAGUGGCGGACGGGUGAGUAACGCGUGAGGAGCUGUCUUAUGCAGGGGGACAACAGUUGGAAACGGCUGCUAAUACCCCAUAAGCCGAGAGGUAAAAGGAGCAAUCCGGCAGAGGAGGUACUCGCGUCCUAUCAGCUAGUAGGUUGGGUAACGGCCGACCUAGGCGAAGACGGGUAGCCGGCCUGAGAGGGCGAACGGCCACACUGGAACUGAGAUACGGUCCAGACUCCUACGGGAGGCAGCAGUGGGGAAUAUUGGGCAAUGGGGGCAACCCUGACCCAGCGACGCCGCGUGGGUGAAGAAAUCCUUCGGGAUGUAAAGCCCUGUUGUAUGGGAAGAGCAGAAGACGGUACCAUACGAGGAAGCCCCGGCAAACUACGUG
Molecule: ribosomal RNA, 454 nt
Filed under: uncultured bacterium
Lineage: Bacteria
Description: bacterial SSU rRNA
Rfam family: Bacterial small subunit ribosomal RNA
Source: RNAcentral